GACGUAGGGGGCCAGCGUUGUUCGGAAUUACUGGGUGUAAAGGGUUCGUAGGCGGUGCGGCAAGUUGAGAGUGAAAUCUCUGGGCUCAACCCAGAGGCUGCUUCCAAAACUGCUGUGCUUGAGUGUGAGAGAGGCUCGUGGAAUUGCAGGUGUAGCGGUGAAAUGCGUAGAUAUCUGCAGGAACACCCGUGGUGAAAGCGGCGAGCUGGAUCGCAACUGACGCUGAGGGACGAAAGCUAGGGGAGCAAACAGG
This 253-nucleotide ribosomal RNA is filed under the name uncultured bacterium. RNAcentral's name for it is "partial 16S ribosomal RNA". It matches the Rfam family "Bacterial small subunit ribosomal RNA", at positions 524 to 776 of the family's 1533-position model. The record is from RNAcentral.